RNAcentral lists this ribosomal RNA (250 nucleotides) under uncultured bacterium. RNAcentral's name for it is "partial 16S ribosomal RNA". It matches the Rfam family "Bacterial small subunit ribosomal RNA", at positions 355 to 622 of the family's 1533-position model. The record is from RNAcentral.
UGGGGAAUAUUGCACAAUGGAGGAAACUCUGAUGCAGCAACGCCGCGUGGAGGAUGACGCAUUUCGGUGUGUAAACUCCUUUUAUAGGGGAAGAUAAUGACGGUACCCUAUGAAUAAGCACCGGCUAACUCCGUGCCAGCAGCCGCGGUAAUACGGAGGGUGCAAGCGUUACUCGGAAUCACUGGGCGUAAAGGAUGCGUAGGCUGGAAAUCAAGUCGAAAGUGAAAUCCAACGGCUCAACCGUUGAACU